UAAAAUUUAAUUUAAAUUCAAAUUCAUAAGUUAGAUUCGAAAUACUUAAUUAAAUUUUAAUUUUUAAUUUAAGUUCAAAUUAAAAUUUAAAAUUAUAUAUUUAAUUUUUAAAUUUUAACUCAUAUUUUAAUUAAAAAAAUUAAAAAAAUAAAUUUAAUCCGAAUAAAUAUCCAUUCCGUCCGGAUUCAACUUUCAAUCCGGCCUCCUAGGCCGGAUUGAAAAAAGAGGUGAUUGGGGGAUUCCCAUUCUAUUCGGGAAUCGAAAUCGGAAUGGGACUCCCGCGUACCAAACACCCACAAACGGAUUCACCCAUUCCGAUUUCGAUUCUAGGGUAAAAAAGAAGCGAACCAAACACGCCCUAGGUUUCAUGCCACUCACCU
This 380-nucleotide long non-coding RNA is filed under the name Ananas comosus (pineapple). RNAcentral describes it as "long non-coding RNA (ACOM_LNC041037)". Lineage: Eukaryota; Viridiplantae; Streptophyta; Magnoliopsida; Poales; Bromeliaceae. The record is from RNAcentral.